This 18-nucleotide unclassified non-coding RNA is filed under the name Mus musculus (house mouse). RNAcentral's name for it is "oocyte_clustered_small_RNA12219". The record is from RNAcentral. Lineage: Eukaryota; Metazoa; Chordata; Mammalia; Rodentia; Muridae.
UACCUGCGCAGCACUCAA